CAAUAGCGUAUAUUAAAGUUGUUGCAGUUAAAAAGCUCGUAGUUGGAUUUGUGGCGUACGGUGUGUUCCGGGCACUUGUUGUCUGAGUAACCUGCUGUUGCCAUCCUUGGGUGGAACCUGUGUGGCAUUAGGUUGUCGUGCAGGGGAUGCCCAUCAUUUACUGUGAAAAAACUAGAGUGUUCAAAGCAGGCUUAUGCCGUUGAAUAUAUUAGCAUGGAAUAAUGAGAUAGGACUUUUUUGCUAUUUUGUUGGUUUGCGCAAAGAGGUAAUGAUUAAUAGGGACAGUUGGGGGUAUUCGUAUUCCAUUGUCAGAGGUGAAAUUCUUGGAUUUUUGGAAGACGAACUACUGCGAAAGCAUUUACCAAGGAUGUUUUCAUUAA
RNAcentral lists this ribosomal RNA (380 nucleotides) under uncultured eukaryote. RNAcentral's name for it is "partial 18S ribosomal RNA". It matches the Rfam family "Eukaryotic small subunit ribosomal RNA", at positions 592 to 976 of the family's 1831-position model. The record is from RNAcentral.